Molecule: ribosomal RNA, 880 nt
Filed under: uncultured bacterium
Lineage: Bacteria
Description: bacterial SSU rRNA
Rfam family: Bacterial small subunit ribosomal RNA
Source: RNAcentral
AGUUUGAUCCUGGCUCGAAUGAACGCUGGCGGCAAGCCUAACACAUGCAAGUCGAACGGAGUUAUAUUGUAGCUUGCUAUGGUAUAACUUAGUGGCAGACGGGUGAGUAAUGUAUAGGAAUCUACCUAGUAGUACGGAAUAAUUGUUGGAAACGGCAACUAAUACCGUAUACGCCCUACGGGGGAAAAAUUUAUUGCUAUUAGAUGAGCCUAUAUUAGAUUAGCUAGUUGGUGGAGUAAUAGCCUACCAAGGCAAUGAUCUAUAGCUGAUCUGAGAGGAUGAUCAGCCACACUGGAACUGAGAUACGGUCCAGACUCCUACGGGAGGCAGCAGUGGGGAAUAUUGGACAAUGGGCGAAAGCCUGAUCCAGCCAUGCCGCAUGAGUGAAGAAGGCCUUUGGGUUGUAAAGCUCUUUUAGUGAGGAAGAUAAUGACGGUACUCACAGAAGAAGUCCUGGCUAACUCCGUGCCAGCAGCCGCGGUAAUACGGAGAGGGCUAGCGUUAUUCGGAAUUAUUGGGCGUAAAGGGCGCGUAGGCGGAUUAGUAAGUUAAAAGUGAAAUCCCAAGGCUCAACCUUGGAAUUGCUUUUAAAACUGCUAAUCUAGAGAUUGAAAGAGGAUAGAGGAAUUCCUAGUGUAGAGGUGAAAUUCGUAAAUAUUAGGAGGAACACCAGUGGCGAAGGCGUCUAUCUGGUUCAAAUCUGACGCUGAGGCGCGAAGGCGUGGGGAGCAAACAGGAUUAGAUACCCUGGUAGUCCACGCUGUAAACGAUGAAUGUUAAAUAUGGGAAGUUUUACUUUCUGUAUUACAGCUAACGCGUUAAACAUUCCGCCUGGGGACUACGGUCGCAAGAUUUAAACUCAAAGGAAUUGACGGGGACC